AUGGCGCGUUUGCAGAGCUUCGCCGCCCUCGCCGCCGCGGCGGCGGCCGCCGUCCUCGCAGGCCUGCUCUACAGACGCAGGUGCAGCCGCUUGACCGCGCGGGUGCGGGAGCUAGAGGACUCCCUGGCCGACGCCGUGGAGAAGGCCGCCGCAGAGCGCCGCGGCAGGGUUCGGGCUCAGCAGUCACUGCGGAGGGCCCUGAGCGAGCAGGGGACGAGCCCGGAUAAGGGGAAGCAGGCCAAGGCCCCGGCGUCGUACCCGAUGGCGCCGAUCGGCACCGUGCAGUCCUGCUUCUCUACUAGGAAUGGUACACCGAGACAGCCUUUGGUGGUGCCUCUGGCCAGAGCGACAGUGGUGCUUAAUCCUGCCCGUGUUGCGGCCGAAGCGCUAGAGGGACUUGCUAGUUACUCGCAUUGUUGGAUCCUCUAUGUUUUCCAUCUGAACACUGAUCUUGAUAAAAUGUGGAAAGACCCUGCUAGAUCCAAGCUAAAAGCAAAGGUGAGAGUGCCUAGAUUGAAAGGGGGCAAGAUGGGGGUUUUGGCAACUAGAUCUCCGCAUCGGCCUAAUCCAAUUGGACUAAGUGUAGCAAAGGUGGAGGCAGUGGAUGGACAUGCGAUUUUGCUUUCUGGAGUAGAUUUGGUUGAUGGCACGCCUGUACUUGAUAUUAAACCAUAUCUGCCAUAUUCUGAUAGCGUGAAAGGUGCGACUAUUCCUAAUUGGUUAGAGGUCGAUGGUGCAUUAGCUGUGGAGUCUAUUCACUUUUCUGAGCACUUCAUUUCUUCACUUUCCAACUGCUGGGCGCAUGUACAAAAGCAGGCACUCUAUGCCUCAGCAGACGAGUUUCAGGAUCUGAUCAAGGAGGUGCUCUCCUGGGACAUCAGAUCAUUGUCUCAGCGACUCCGCCCUCACCAGGUGGACAUUGAAAGCAAGGCCGGUGAUUAUGGUAGCAAAGCUGAUGAGGAUUGCAGAAAGAAAGAAGAUUACCAAGCCACUGACUCCUGCCCGAUCGUAGUCUACCACCUUCAUCUGGAAGGCAUUGAUGUGUCAUACAAAAUCGAUGAAAAUUCGAACAUUGUUGUUGACAAUGCAGCCCUUCUCCCCAGUGCUGCAAACCAAAACAGGUGUAGCUACCUAACAUGGAGGGAUAAGCUUAGCACUUUGUAG
Molecule: ribosomal RNA, 1164 nt
Filed under: Triticum aestivum (bread wheat)
Lineage: Eukaryota; Viridiplantae; Streptophyta; Magnoliopsida; Poales; Poaceae
Description: partial small subunit ribosomal RNA
Source: RNAcentral